Pseudopipra pipra is the source of this 2706-nucleotide long non-coding RNA. RefSeq lists it as uncharacterized. NCBI's taxonomy places the organism in Eukaryota, Metazoa, Chordata, Aves, Passeriformes, Pipridae. The transcript is spliced from 7 exons. The record is from RefSeq and is a predicted model, not a curated record.
UUCUGCAGGAGAAAAGCUGGAAAGCAGGAUGGAAGCAAAGAAGCCCCGUGACUCCUCCCUGAGCCCCAGACAGCCCAUGAACUGCCUUCCUGGGAAUGGUGGGAUGGGCUGGACUCUGGAUUGCUCCCUCUGGAUGUGUGGCUCUCCCCUCAGGAACUCCAGGAACUCCUGGUGCUGCCUGGGCCGAUGGAUUGGACGCCCCAGCCCCUCCGUUCCUGCCCAGCCACUGGGGCCGUGUCGAGUGGUGGCACUGCCAGCCCUGCAGUGCGAGGUAGCCUGGAAACUGCACAGAGCUGAGUCAUGGGAUUUAAAGGGACCAACCAAGGGAGGUGAAGAAAGAAGGAAGAAGGGAACUGAGGCAUGAGCCAAGCAGCACCAAGUUGCUGUGUAAGCAGGGAAUAACUCCUGUCAGCAGCAAGGUCCCCACUGAAGUGGCAGCUGCAGUUGUUCCUGUGGUGUGGGCCAGUGGAACUCCAGGAGAGUGGAAGAGGGCAGAACCUGUAGGAUGUCACUGCAAGAACCUGCCAAGAAAACCAAUGGCCAAGGUGAUUGAUGAGUGCAGGACCUGAGAGAACCCCCUGAAAUGACAACCUUGAGUGGUUUCCAGUAUUAGAUUGAAAAGAUGCCCUUUGCUGCAUCUCCUUGAGCAAGGAAAGCCAAGAAACCUUUGCUUUUGCAGGAGAAAAUGGAGAAAGCAGGAAGGAAGAAGAGAAGCCCCGUGACUCCUCCCUGAGCCCCAGACAGCCCAUGAACUGCCUUCCUGGGAAUGGUGGGACGGGCUGGACUCUGGAUUGCUCCCUCUGGAUGUGUGGAACUGCAGGAACUCCUGGUGCCGCCUGGGCCGAUGGAUUGGAUGCCCCAGCCCCUCCGUUCCUGCCCAGCCCCUGGGUCUGUGUCGAGUGGUGGCACUGCCAGCCCUGCAGGUGAAGUGGGAAGGGCCUUUGCAGGUCUUGUGGGUCACAUUUCUAGCAGUGGGAUGUAGCCUGGAAACUCCCCAGAGCUGAGCCAAGGGAUUGAAAGGGACCAACCAAGGGAGGUGAAGAAAGAAGGAAGAAGGGAACUGAGGCAUGAGCCAAGCAGCACCAAGUUGCUGUGUAAGCAGGUGAGUUGUCUUGAGGUUCCUAAGGCAGGCACUGAGGACUUUGAGGGCUGCAGACAGAGAAGACCUGGGAAGGCCCUUGGAAACCUUAUAAGGGUAGGUGUGUAUGGUGAUAAGUGUUGGAAAAUGUCCUGAAUAUGGAACAGGAAUGCAGGGAACAAAUAGGAACCCUCCUGUAAUGCUGACCCCUCCCAUCAGCUGCACUGGAGACACCUCUGUGUGCCCUUUGGGAGCGGAUUGCCAGGACACCCGUCGGGCUGGGAUCAUGGCAGGGUGUUGUAAGCAAGGAAUGCCUGGCUUCUAAACCUCUCCAACUGAGUCUUAGAGGCUUCUUUGAAGAGCUGAUUUCAGGCAGCAGAAUUGGCCCCCAGGAGGGACUCUGUGCCUGCUCUCCCGUGGCUCCAAGGGAUCUCUGGCCCUUCACGCCGGCACCAAGAUUUUCUCGGGAAGGGCCUCAGAUCCCCGGACCAGUCUGGGACACAGGCAAGAUCCCCCUGCAGUUUAGGACCAAAUUGGGCCCCUUGGAGGGACAGUGCUGUUGGUGCCCCCCGGGUUGGGGCACCCUGAGGACUCCAGCGCGCACCGAAAGGAUUAUUCGGGGAGAUCCUCGGGGUGCCCGGCCCUGGGGAGCUCAAAGCAAGGUCCCUGCAAUGGAUUCAGGCAUUGCUGAGAGUAUCCCAGGGGUACCUGUCCCUGCUAGACAUGGAGCUCUCUAAUGGGCUGUAACUGGGUUCUAAAAGUGGUGCUCCAAGUGCCAAAGGAAGUGUGGGAUUGGGAUUAAGAAAUGAGCAGUGAUGGUCCAAUUGGCUGUUUUCUCUUGACUGUAAUGGUGAGAGCUGCAGGAGUGCCAGGUGUGUGUUCCAGUCCCCAGCAUUUGGUUUGCACGUGUCCUGGUCAGACACAGGUCCAACUUCCUCAGUCCUUAACACAACAGAAGGAGUGUGGCUUCUUGUUUUCCUGUGUCUUUGAUGAGGUGUUGACUCAGUACCUUUCUUGGAGCUGCUGUUGGAUGAAGAGAUGCCCUCAAUUCACCUGUAAGGGCCUGGUUUUCUUCCCUGCUUUCCGAACUUGUCCAGGAGAUGGAAUUCCAGUGCUACAGAAGAGAUGGCUCGUGGUGCUCCCAAAAGGAGCCUUUGUGCCUUCAGGGCAAGUUGUGGUGCCCCUGGAGCUGUUGGGAGAAGCAGAGGGUUGGCAGGGAGAGGCCUGGAAUGAUGUUGCUGUGGCACAGACGUUGCUCCCUGGCAGGUUCUUGGGUUGGAUUCCUUGGCUGCCACUUGGCAAGGCCUGGAAGGGCCUCAGUUGUGUAGGGAACCAAACCUGGAAUGGGAAAGCAAAGGUGGGGAGGUUCUGGUUUCAGAAAGGAUCAUUGCCUUCUCUUUCUGCAGGGACACUGAGCUGCUCCAGCUGUGGCAAGAAGUGCCCUGAUGCCUGAGUGCUCUCCAUACCCCCAGGAUGGAUCCCAACUGUCAGCCCCUGGCUCCAUCCCUUGAGAAGAUGGUGUUCCUGCAAGCCCAGCUGCUGUGCUGGUGGUCCUGUGGGCACCUCCUGCCCUGGCCUGCUGUGACUGUGUUUGUGUUGCAGCUCAAUAAAGUCCCUUUCAGGGGUGA